Molecule: long non-coding RNA, 1629 nt
Filed under: Homo sapiens (human)
Lineage: Eukaryota; Metazoa; Chordata; Mammalia; Primates; Hominidae
Description: non-protein coding MAN1B1-DT:7
Source: RNAcentral
CGGGCGGGGCCGCCAUGUUGGCAGAGAGUCCCAGCGUCCCGCGCCUCGGUUCCGGAACCCGCGGCGCGGGGAUGGAGCUGGGCUGCCCUUGGGCGCCGUCCUGGGCUGGUGCCCACCCUGGCCGCGUGGUCACCGGCAAGAAGCCCAGGGCCUCACCCAGGCGUGGGGGCCGGGGGAAGGACCGGACCCUCCCGAAGUCGCGGACCAGGCCGGGCGGCACCCGGGCUGGGGUGGCUGCUACCCCGAGCUAAGCUGGCUGCGCCGCAUCUCACGGUCCCCGGGGCCCGAGCGCUGCGCCUGGACCGGCGCCGAGCGAGGCGGCCAAUCGGCCGGCUGGACCCACAGUCCCCGCGCCAUAGGCGGGUCGGGGCUUUCAGACCCGGCUCCCAGCCCUCGAACUCGGUAACCUUGGAGGUCAGCUUGAGAUGACUGCGCUUCCUGCACGCGUUGUCCUCCCCAGAAACGCCCAAAAUGGCAAAGCGGCGUCCGUGGCCGCCCGAGGCCCUCCCUGCCUGGGUUCUCCCCAGCCGAACCUCACGCCCGGCCCCUCCUUCAUUCUCUCCUGGCCAGGCUGCUCCUGCCCUUGGGCGAAUCCGCUGCGUCCCACGGUCCUGACUGUGGCAUUUCUGCGUGUCUGGAGAGCUCCCCCGGCAGCGACGUCCUGCUUAGCACGUGGCUCGUCUAACUCUGUUCCCCUGGCCUCCUGCUCUUCUAGGGGUCAUCUUUAGGUUUCUGCUGGUCUCUGCCCCCUGUGACACUUGCUGGUACCCAAAUGAAGUCGUUUAUGUCACACUCUAACAAGAGGCCCUGAAGAAGCCCUCACAAAAACAUUAGCAACGGAGCGCCUGCGGCAAACCCUUCUAACCUUUGGUCUUUAUGGUUUCAAAGCAGUUUAUGGGAACUUCUCUUUUUUAAAAGAUUCCCCUUGGGGCCAGGCGCGGUGGCUUCUGUAAUCCCAGGACUUUGGGAGGCCGAGGCAGGUGGAUCACUUGAGGUCAGGAGUUCAAGACUAGCCUGGCCAACAUGGUGAGACACCCGUCUCUACAAAAAACACAAAAAAAUUAGCAGGGCAUGGUUGGUGGCAGGCACCUGUAGUCCCAGCUACACGGGAGGCUUAGGCAGGAGAAUUCCUUGAACCCAGGAGGUGGAGGUUGCAGUGAGCCGAGAUGGCACCACUGCACUCCAGCCUGGGCAACAGAGCAAGACUCUGUCUCAAAAAAAAAAAAAAAAAAAAAAAAGAAAUUUCCCGUGGGCGGGGCACAGUGACUCAUGCCUGUAGUAAUCCCAGCACUUUUGGAGGCCAAGGUGGGCAGAUCCCCUGAGCUCAGGAGUCCAACCUGGGCAACAUGGUGAAACCCCUGUCUCUACAAAAAAUAAAAAAAUGAGUCCAGUGUGGUGGUGUGCACCUGUGGUCCCAGCUACUCUGGAGGCUGAGGUGGGAAGACCACCUAAGCCCCAGGAGGUCGAGGCUGCAGUGAGCCAUGAUUGCACCACUGCACUCCAGCCUGGGCAACAGAGUGAGAUCCAGUCUCAAAAAAAAAAAAUUCCCCCUUUCCUCAAUCCCCACCCCACCCCCCCACCACAUGCCUGUGACCCACUGAGGCUUGCAUACUCUGCAUUGCAAUUAUG